UCUAGUGGCGAUAGCGAAGAGGUCACACCCGUUCCCAUGCCGAACACGGAAGUUAAGCUCUUCAGCGCCGAUGGUAGUUGGGGGCUCUCCCCCUGUGAGAGUAGGACGCUGCUGGGC
RNAcentral lists this ribosomal RNA (117 nucleotides) under Bacillus taeanensis. Lineage: Bacteria; Bacillati; Bacillota; Bacilli; Caryophanales; Bacillaceae. The record is from RNAcentral.